CCUCUCUCUUCCAGGACUUUAUGCUAUUACCUCCUGUUUGAACAUCAGGUAAUCUACCGCCCUCUCUUCCAGGACCUUAGGCUAUUAACUCCUAUUUGGACCUCAGGUAAUCUACAACACCUUUGUCUUCCAGGAACUUAUGCUAUUACCUCCUAUUUGGACAUCAGGUAAUCUAGUGCCCUCUCUCUUUCAUGCCCUUAGGCCAUUUCCUCCUAUUUGGACAUCAGGUAAUCUACAACACCUUUGUCUCCCAGGACCUUAUGCUAUUACCUCCUAUUUGGACAUCACAUAAGCUACAACACCUUUGUCUUCGAGGACCUUAUGCUAUUACCUCCUAUUUGGACAUCAGGUAAUCUAACAACACCUUUUUCUUCCAGGACCUUAUGCUAUUACCUCCUAUUUGGACAUCAGGUAAUCUACAACACCUUUGUCUUUGAGGACCUUAUGCUAUUACCUCCUAUUUGGACAUCAGGUAAUCUACAACACCUUUGUCUUCCAGGACCUUAUGCUAUUACCUCCCAUUUGCACAUCAGGUCAUCUACAACACGUCUAUCUUCCAGGACCUUAUGGGAUUACCUCCUACUUGGACAUCAGAUAAUCUACAACCCUCUCUCUUGCAGGACCUUACGCUAUUACCUCCUAUUGGAGAUCGGGUUAUCUAUAACCCUCUCUCUUCCAGGACCAUAGGCUAUUACUUCCUAUUUGGACAUCAGGUAAUCUACAGCCUUCUCUCUACCAGCACCUUAUGCUAUUACCUCCUAUUUGGACAUCACAUAAUCUAUAACCCUCUCUUCCAGGAUCUUAUGCUAUUACCUCCUAUUUGGACAUCAGGUAAUAUAACAACACCUUUGUCUUCCAGGACUUUAUGCUAUUCCCUCCUCUUUGGACAUCAGGCAAUCUACAACACCUUUGUCUUCCAAGACCUUAUACUAUUACCUCCUAUUUGGACAUCGGGUAAUUUACAACACCUUUGUCUUCCAGGACCUUAUGCUAUUACCUCCUAUUUGGACAUCAGGUAAUCUACAACACCUUUGUCUUCCAGGACCUUAUGGUAUUACCUCCUAUUUGGACAUCAGGUAAUCUACAAUGCUCUCUCUUCCAUGACCUUAUGUUAUUUCCUCCUAUUUGGACAUCAGGUAAUCUACAACCCUCUCUCUUCCAUGACCUUAUGCUAUUUCCUCCUAUUUGGAUAUCAGGUAAUCUACAACACCUUUGUCUCCCAGCACCUUAUGCUAUUACCUCCUAUUUAGAUAUCAGGUAAUGUACAACACCUUUCCCUGAAAAAUACACCGUGGGUAGAAUGUGCCGGUAACACACGGAAUGAUUCCCUAUCUUGCAGUUUAUCUCACUAAUUGGGAUGAUUUCCUUAUCUUUUUACCCACUUGGCUAGAAGCUCUUCAUGAUUACACAAUGACUUGUUCAUCAUUGUAUCACGGAAUCUAACAAAUACACGUUCAAUAAAUAUUAGAUUAAUCAAUGAAUGUCCAUAGCUACAUUUUAUUUCACUGUUAUGAACUGUGAAAACCUUAGCAAAUACAGUUGCUAUCUUCAUCGUGGACACUGCAUGUAGAGAAUGUAGGUCAC
Molecule: long non-coding RNA, 1584 nt
Filed under: Pan troglodytes (chimpanzee)
Lineage: Eukaryota; Metazoa; Chordata; Mammalia; Primates; Hominidae
Description: long non-coding RNA NONPTRT013335
Source: RNAcentral